RNAcentral lists this transfer RNA (60 nucleotides) under Limnoria quadripunctata. RNAcentral describes it as "tRNA-Phe". The record is from RNAcentral. Lineage: Eukaryota; Metazoa; Arthropoda; Malacostraca; Isopoda; Limnoriidae.
GUUUAAGAAGUUUUUAGAAUUUAAUAUUGAAGCUAUUAAGGAGGUUUGAGCCCUUAUAAA